GACGAACGCUGGCGGCGUGCUUAACACAUGCAAGUCGAACGGAAAGGCCCCCACCUUGGUGGGGGUGCUCGAGUGGCGAACGGGUGAGUAACACGUGGGUGAUCUGCCCUGUACUUCGGGAUAAGCUUGGGAAACUGGGUCUAAUACCGGAUAGGACCAUGGUUUAGUGUCUCAUGGUGGAAAAAUUAUUGUUUUGGUGCAGGAUGAGCUCGCGGCCUAUCAGCUUGUUGGUGGGGUAAUGGCCUACCAAGGCGUCGACGGGUAGCCGGCCUGAGAGGGUGGACGGCCACAUUGGGACUGAGAUACGGCCCAGACUCCUACGGGAGGCAGCAGUGGGGAAUAUUGCACAAUGGGCGCAAGCCUGAUGCAGCGACGCCGCGUGGGGGAUGACGGCCUUCGGGUUGUAAACUCCUUUCGUUAGGGACGAAGCCACACCUUUUUUGGGUGUGGUGACGGUACCUUUGGUAAGAAGCACCGGCUAACUACGU
RNAcentral lists this ribosomal RNA (488 nucleotides) under uncultured bacterium. RNAcentral describes it as "partial 16S ribosomal RNA". It matches the Rfam family "Bacterial small subunit ribosomal RNA", at positions 28 to 506 of the family's 1533-position model. The record is from RNAcentral.